This 495-nucleotide ribosomal RNA is filed under the name uncultured bacterium. RNAcentral describes it as "partial 16S ribosomal RNA". It matches the Rfam family "Bacterial small subunit ribosomal RNA", at positions 30 to 507 of the family's 1533-position model. The record is from RNAcentral.
UGAACGCUGGCGGCGUGCCUAAUACAUGCAAGUCGAGCGAACAGACGAGGAGCUUGCUCCUCUGACGUUAGCGGCGGACGGGUGAGUAACACGUGGAUAACCUACCUAUAAGACUGGGAUAACUUCGGGAAACCGGAGCUAAUACCGGAUAAUAUAUUGAACCGCAUGGUUCACUAGUGAAAGACGGUUUUGCUGUCACUUAUAGAUGGAUCCGCGCCGCAUUAGCUAGUUGGUAAGGUAACGGCUUACCAAGGCAACGAUGCGUAGCCGACCUGAGAGGGUGAUCGGCCACACUGGAACUGAGACACGGUCCAGACUCCUACGGGAGGCAGCAGUAGGGAAUCUUCCGCAAAGGGCGAAAGCCUGACGGAGCAACGCCGCGUGAGUGAUGAAGGUCUUCGGAUCGUAAAACUCUGUUAUUAGGGAAGAACAAAUGUGUAAGUAACUAUGCACGUCUUGACGGUACCUAAUCAGAAAGCCACGGCUAACUACGUG